UACGUAGGGUGCGAGCGUUAAUCGGAAUUACUGGGCGUAAAGCGUGCGCAGGCGGCUUCGCAAGUCAGGCGUGAAAUCCCCGGGCUUAACCUGGGAAUGGCGUCUGAAACUACGGAGCUGGAGUGUGGCAGAGGGAGGUAGAAUUCCACGUGUAGCGGUGAAAUGCGUAGAUAUGUGGAGGAAUACCGAUGGCGAAGGCAGCCUCCUGGGCCAACACUGACGCUCAUGCACGAAAGCGUGGGGAGCGAACAGG
Molecule: ribosomal RNA, 253 nt
Filed under: uncultured bacterium
Lineage: Bacteria
Description: partial 16S ribosomal RNA
Rfam family: Bacterial small subunit ribosomal RNA
Source: RNAcentral